This 262-nucleotide unclassified non-coding RNA is filed under the name Hevea brasiliensis (rubber tree). The record is from RNAcentral. Lineage: Eukaryota; Viridiplantae; Streptophyta; Magnoliopsida; Malpighiales; Euphorbiaceae.
AUCCAUUGUUGGUUUAUCAAGGCUAUCAUUUACACUUCCAUGUGGGUUAAUUUCAUGGUUGAGUUAUGUUCAAGUAGCUCAAUCAAGUGAGGCACUGAAACUCGAUAUGGUUUAUGAGACUGGAGAGCUUUUUGAACUGGGUAUACAACUGUCUUAUCUGAUUGUAUUACUAGCUCUGCUUGGAGUUGGAACUUUUUUUGUCAUUCGUCAGGUUCUUGUUCGUAGAGAGCUUGACCUUUCUGCUAAAGAACUGCAGGAGCAG